AUUUCUUAUCCAGAGCAUACGCACUUGCAAACGCAGUCUUCAGUCUCCUCAUGAAUGUUUACGCGUCGCUGUCGCACGACCAAGAUGUGAGCGUCUUUAUCGAGCCAUGAUAUCGCUGAAACUACGCUGUGACCUCGCAAAGUUGCUUCGUUCGGACGCAGCGAAUAAUCUAAUCGCACCAGCAGAAGAGCGCCGAUCGUCUCGCUCACGGUCCCGAUUUGUGUACUGUACCCUCAGUGAUGCAGCACAGACUGCGCCCCCCACCCCAAAAUAAAAUGCCCGGCACGAAACGUAGUAGCAACUACCCGCCUCACCGCUCUAGUUAGAGACCACAACGAAGCAGCAGCAAACAGGCGGCCAUGCGAGCAAGCAAACCUGUCAGAAUAAACGUUCAAUUUGCGCGGCCGCCCCAUGCCCAAUGAAAAGCGACCGGAAGUGACGGCCGACGCUGUACCAUCACUUCGGCGCGCGGCAGGACGGGAAGGCGGAAGCUGCGCCAUCAUGCUCGUUUUCGCGUGCGUUCGCGUCGCGCGCUGUGCGAAGUAAUUUUAAACGUGUGAUUAGUUUUGCGCGCGGGGUAGAAAAAGAUGUGGCCCAUGCUUUGUGUAUUACUCGUGCCCCACUUCAAAGCAAAGCGUUCGUACGCACUGGAAGAUGGAUCCACGAAGGCUGAAACGAGAAGUUGCAACGUGCCCGGUCGGUAGUACUGGCAUGAUGGAAACUUUCAGCGAGUGUUCCCGCCUGAAAGCCGAGUUUGGUUUCAAGCCACCCUGGACAACUGCUGUAUGAGGCGCCGUUUCUCGGGAGGACCAGUGGGAAGGCGCCAAGUAUACGCUUCGUCCUUUUUCCUCCCAUGCCCUGAUGAAUCGAUAUCCUUGUUUUUUAUUGUGAAAGGAACGUUACAUCCAGAGCAUAAAUAAAUGAUUAAGAAAUCUGGUAGUGUGUUUCGCCAUUACAAUAAUUCCGAUCUUAAAGACGUGGAUUUCCCAUUAGCCCACAUUUCUUUUGAUGCAGACAACCGCUGAAAUUGUUAGCGGCAGGUUAUUCGAGACGUUCUACGUAUAUAGCAAUUGUCUUCAGGAGCUUUAAUGAAUUUUGAAAAUUUGAAGUGUUGUGCUUUAGAGGUAUCAUAUACAAGCUUUAGGUCUCCGGGUAAUUUGCAUGCCCUUCGAGAGCUGUCGCCUAUAGCCCUAUUGAAAUUCGUAACUACAGUUUGGAGCACUGGGGAAGCUAGAAGGCUUGUCCUGGCUCUCGAGAAAGUGUUUAAGCUGGAGGUGUAGGUUGAGGAGUUUGGGGUUGGUAACACAAAGGAUUUUUUAUGCCUUAGCAGUAGGAGUGACACAGGAUAAAAAAAAAUGUAUGUGUGUCAAGCACAGGAAGCUGCUCAUGUGGUAGAAGCAUGUGUGUGCGUGUGUGUGUGUGUGCGCCCAUGCAUGCGUGCGUGUGUGUGAAUUCUCUCCUCAAAAGGGAGUAUGUGUGUAAGUGAGCUAUUUCAUUGCUGGUCUGUUUGCCAAGAAUUGGCAAGAAAACACAAUAAUCAAUUUAACUUGAAAUAAUAAACUUCAAAGCAUACUGGCGUACUGGCGACAGCAGCAUACAAGCAUGCAGCUGUGUGACAAUCUUAAUGCAUGACUGCAACAUCUGGAAGGAGGCUUGCUUCUUCUUCAGUAAGCAGCACAAAGUCCAUAUUCUUGGCUUUUCUCGUGCAAACCAAAACGAGGCUCAUUGCCAAUGAUCUUGUCUUUUGCUCUAAUAGCAUUUGUUUAUCUUGUACUUAGAGCGUCGUUUCUCGCAGGUCAUGCAGAUGGUAGCAGCAAUUUCACAAUGCCCAGCCUUGGCGCCCCCCAUCAAGAGCAAGCCACUUGCGUUCGCCUUCAGACAGAUGGUUAAUGUCUUCUUGAAAGCGGUUGAGAAGACAACAUUGAUGCAAGAUUCCAGCAAUGCCAUGCGCUGCAUUUAUUGGUCAAGAUGCUCAGAGAAUGGAGUCCCUGCACCUCGUGGUUAACCGUGAACAUUUCUUUUUCUUUUGGAAAGCUAAAGGCCAUUUGCUGCAUCACUUGCAUUUUUGCAGCUCAGAUGUGUACUAUAUUUUUCUAAUUUUGAAUCAAUAUUGGCUGUUCAGUAUAAAAAAUGACGUACAGCGUGAAGGACAAGGACUGCGAGAGACACACUCCACUGACUUUCAACAAUAUUUUAUUGCGUUGCCACAUCGUGUGUGUAUACACAGAGGGGUCAUGCGCAGAAAAUGAAAGCCAGUCACAAGGGGUGUUCUAACAGCAAGUCAUUGUAAAAAGAACAUGGUCACUUGAAAAAAAAAACAUCACAAUUUCUAUCUGUUUAGAUACAAAAUUUCACUAGGGGUCAGCGUGAUAGAGGGGGCACUAACGCACACACUACCCAGUUUUCUGGUGAAAUCAGCUUCAAUAAUUUACCGGGUGAGCUGUGUCUCGCUAAAACUUCCGUAUCUUAAAGAGGGGCAUGCAGCCGCAGUCCCGGCAAUGAAUGCCCAAGUGGCCUUGAACAGUGUUAUUGACGUUGUUAUAGUGCUCUCUUAAACGAUCAUUUAGGCGCCUGCCUAUCUGUCCAAUAUAUUUACUGCCUCAAAAUGGGAAUUUGGGAAACCACAUUCGUUGCACACAUCGCAAAACGUUUUCUGUGCCCGGCAGAGCAACAACUCUGACGUGAUUUAGGCGCGUUUACACACUUACAGAGCCUUGCCAGCUUUUCCGGGGCUGAGAAAAGGACUGAUUUCUGCAGGUUCCCUAAUCUUUUUUAGCCUAUGGGAGACAUCAUGAACAUACGGUAGCACUGCAAACCUGUGUCUUUCAACCGGCUGGUUCCUUGACCGAGCGCGCUCAUCAUGUUUUGUGCACUUCAGAAGCUGUUCCGCUAUGGCUGAAAUUAAGGCCAAAGGGUAGCCAACCCAAGAAAGGCAAUCAGCCUGUGCAGCAACGCUAUGUUGCAUCUCGUGUGAGCAAGAUUUAUUGAGGCUGUUAAGGAGGCAAAGCUUUACAAUAUCUCAUUUGACUUUGUUGGACAGACAGGCAGGCGCCUAAACAAUCAUUUAGGAGAGCACGAUAACAACGUCCAUAACACUGUUCAAGGCCACUUCGGCAUCCAUUGCUGGGACUGCGGCUGCAUGCCCCUCUUUGAAGGUACGGAAGCUUUAGCGAGACACAGGUCAUCCGGGAAACUAUAGAAGCAGAUUUCACUAGAAAACUGGUUAGUGUGUGCGUUAGUGACCCCUCUAUCGUGCUGACCCCUAGUGAAGUCUUGUAUCUCAACAGAUAGAAAUUCUAAUGUUUAUUUUUUUCAAAGGACGAUGUUCUUAGUACAGUCACUUGCUGUUAGACACCCCUUGUGACUCAUAUUCUGCGCAUGCCCGCUUUUGUACAAAUACACAUGAUGUGGCAACGUAAUUAAAUAUUGUUGGAAGUCAGCGCAGUCUGUCAUCUCUCGCAGUUCUUGUCAUUCAAGCUGUACGUAAUUUUAUCUCAUUAAUUGCAAACUAUCCCAAGAAACUACCCUUGUUCAGUAUAAUUAUAAUGUUUGAUAUGACCAUUUGCUGGCAAAUGUUAACAGUGUGAUAUUUAACUUGAACUUUUGCAUGACUGCCUAUGCCUGUGUUCUUUUAGUAACCAGAGUAUGGCUAAUUUAUUAAACCAUAUUUGCUAAUUUGCAUGCUCACAUGCUAUAGCAUGCCUUAAUCUUGAAUUACUGCAUCUAAGUGCAAAUAAUUUAGAAAUUUACUAUGUAUUUUAAAACACUGUCCACAUUUUGUGCUCAGCAAAAUCGUUUAAUCAACAGUGGUUUGUUUUUAUCAGGCCUCCUACUGCACUUUGCACCCAGGCACUAGUAGAUGUGGAAUAUGCACUCUUUUGAUUUAUAGUAAGAAAAGAACCUAUUUUCAAACUACAUAUUGUAUAUGUACCAGUGCCUUAGAGUUACAAAACAAAAAUUUAUAGAAACUGGUAUUGUAGUUAGAAAAACCGCUGCACAGCACCUUUAGCCCAGAGAACUCUCGUUUCACAAAAGAGGACAAACUAUGUAGGCACUAAAAAAUUCUACGUAUUUUUUGUGCUCAAGUAAUCUUGUUGGAAAUAGAAAAUUAGCAAUAAGGCUCCUGGCAUAAACCUCACUUAAAGCAUGUCUAUGCUUGGAAAGUAUUGUUUCAGUCUGAAAAAUGUUGGCCAGUUAUGCUUUACAUCGACUUUCCAAACUUUUCAUAAUGCUUUGCGAUUACAUUAGUGUACAAAAUAACAGGUGUCUUUCUUGUGCGUUUGCUCUGCAUUUCAAUUGCUUCCCUAAUUCACCUUUGCAAUAUGCCUUUUUUUAAGGCAUCAAAACUUGAAUUUUCGUUCACUGGAGCCUAAUACUAAAAAUUUAUUCCUUUAUGUGGCCCAAAACACUGCGAAUCAACCCAGGCUCUUUCAGUGCCGCUAUACAUAGUUUCUUCUCUAAUAACAGAUUUGAUCAAUACAUAUAUUUUAGGUACCUUUGUGGGGAAUGUACAUGUUCUUGCACUUACCGAUUUGUUUGGUGAUUGUGCAUGUUUAUAUUUCAUGUGAUUUAUGUAUAUGUUGUACUCUGUAUUGCAGCAUGCAAUAAAUAUAUUUGCGUUUUCUUGAAAAUGCAGCAUAUAUCUUACCAGUCUGUGUUGCAUGUUAUUUGGAUAUGGAAAUC
This is a non-coding RNA of Dermacentor albipictus, 4683 nucleotides long. NCBI's taxonomy places the organism in Eukaryota, Metazoa, Arthropoda, Arachnida, Ixodida, Ixodidae. The record is from RefSeq and is a predicted model, not a curated record.